Long non-coding RNA from Callithrix jacchus (white-tufted-ear marmoset), 955 nucleotides. RefSeq lists it as uncharacterized. NCBI's taxonomy places the organism in Eukaryota, Metazoa, Chordata, Mammalia, Primates, Cebidae. The record is from RefSeq and is a predicted model, not a curated record.
UUCACUCCGCUUCCUGUUACCUAGCAAUGUAAACGUAGGUAUUCUAGCUUCUGUUGGUGUAACAAGCCACUCUAAAAACCAAGGGAGUCGAACAUCUGUUUCAUAUGGUCAUUCAUUCUGCGGGUUGGACAGGGCACAGUGGGGACAGGGUUUCUCUGUGAUAUCUGGGUCUCAAGGGGAAGGUUCAACAUCUGGGGAUGAGUCAACAGCUGGGGACAAGAAUCACCUGGAUUUCCACCUAGACUGGAACACCUGCAUGUGAGCUUUCUGUGUGUGCUAGGAUUUCUCAUAGCAUGGUGACCUUGCAUAGCCAGACUUCUUUCUUGUAAGUUCGGGCUUCAAAGACAGCAUCUCCCUUCCACUAAGGCUGGACUGUAGCAGCAUAAUCAUGGCUCACUGCAGCCUCAAACUCCUGGGCUCAAGCAAUCCUCCUGCCUUAGCCACCCAAGUAGCUGGGAUGACAGAGGCAUGCCACCACACGUGGUUCCUAGCAAACUUCUUAAUAUCCUCAUGAGUUAUUGGGAUAGACUGAUUGCAGAAACAGCCACAAUCCUCCAUCCCUCCCAGUCCACGCCCUCUGCAUCAUCAAUCCACACUCUCUGCAAUGUGACUGUGUAGCUCCUCCUGCCAAGAGACAGAAUCAAUUUCCCCACCCUUUGAAUAUGGGCCGGCCCUGAAAUUGCUUUAAACAAUGUUUAUUGAAAGUGACAAUGUGCCAACUCCAUACUUUGGUCUUAAGAAGCCUCGUGUCUUCCACUUUCUCUCUUAAACCCCUGCUUCUGCCAUGAGAACAAGCUGUGUCUAGCCAAUGGAGAAUGAAAGAUCACACACAGCAGAGCUGAAUUGUCCCAGCAGAGGCCACCCCCGGCCUGCCAGCCUCCAGCCAACCUGCGAGCAGACCUGAGAUGCAUAAGCAACCAGACUCACGAGAAAUAAUACAUGUUGUUUUAAGGCA